Molecule: ribosomal RNA, 549 nt
Filed under: uncultured bacterium
Lineage: Bacteria
Description: bacterial SSU rRNA
Rfam family: Bacterial small subunit ribosomal RNA
Source: RNAcentral
AACGCUGGCGGCAGGCUUAACACAUGCAAGUCGAACGGUUGCAGCAAUGCACAAUGGCAGACGGGUGAGUAACACGUGGGAACCUUCCUAGGGGUACGGAACAACUCAGGGAAACUUGAGCUAAUACCGUAUACGUCCGUGAGGAGAAAGAUUUAUCGCCCUUAGACGGGCCCGCGUCGGAUUAGCUAGUUGGUGGGUAACGGCCUACCAAGGCGACGAUCCGUAGCUGAUCUUAGAGGAUGAUCAGUCACACUGGGACUGAGACACGGCCCAGACUCCUACGGGAGGCAGCAGUGGGGAAUCUUGGACAAUGGGCGCAAGCCUGAUCCAGCCAUGCCGCGUGAGUGAAGAAGGUCUUCGGAUUGUAAAGCUCUUUUGCCAGGGACGAUAAUGACGGUACCUGGAGAAUAAGCCCCGGCAAACUUCGUGCCAGCAGCCGCGGUAAUACGAAGGGGGCUAGCGUUGUUCGGAAUUACUGGGCGUAAAGCGCACGUAGGCGGGUCGUUAAGUCAGGGGUGAAAUCCCGGAGCUCAACUCCGGAACUGCCUU